RNAcentral lists this ribosomal RNA (356 nucleotides) under Streptomyces sp. SID8455. RNAcentral describes it as "partial 23S ribosomal RNA". It matches the Rfam family "Bacterial large subunit ribosomal RNA", at positions 2576 to 2925 of the family's 2925-position model. Lineage: Bacteria; Bacillati; Actinomycetota; Actinomycetes; Kitasatosporales; Streptomycetaceae. The record is from RNAcentral.
GCUGUUCGCCCAUUAAAGCGGUACGCGAGCUGGGUUUAGAACGUCGUGAGACAGUUCGGUCCCUAUCCGCUGUGCGCGUAGGAAUAUUGAGAAGGGCUGUCCCUAGUACGAGAGGACCGGGACGGACGAACCUCUGGUGUGCCAGUUGUUCUGCCAAGGGCAUGGCUGGUUGGCUACGUUCGGGAGGGAUAACCGCUGAAAGCAUCUAAGCGGGAAGCCUGCUUCGAGAUGAGUGUUCCCACCUCCUUGAGAGGGUAAGGCUCCCAGUAGACGACUGGGUUGAUAGGCCGGAUAUGGAAGCCCUGUAAGGGGUGGAGUUGACCGGUACUAAUAGGCCGAGGGCUUGUCCUCAGUUG